CCCCCUCCUCAGACCACCAUCACCAUCAUCUGUGGUCAUUGUUGCUGCCCUGGUUCUCCUUGGAGCUGUGGUCACUGGAGCUGUGCUGGGGAGGAGGAAGUGCUCAGGCAGAGGCAGGGAGAGCUACACUCAGGCUGCCUGUAAGUCUGGGUGUUGGGGAGGUGAUGUCUGGGACCCUUGGGAGAGUGUGGGCUGGAGUCUGAGAGGGGGCUCUCCCACCCUGUAACUCUGCUGUUGUGUCUUCCCCAGGCAGUGACAGGGCCCAGGGCUCUGAUGUGUCUCUCACAGCUCCUAAGGGGUGACAGAGCUGCUUUCUCCAAGAGUUGGUGCUGAAAUAGUCACUACAGCCUCCCUUGGGACUUUAAGGGUCCCUCUCUGUUGUUUCUGCAACCAGCAUCUGAAUAUUAUAUAAAUAUAUAAAUAAAUCAAAAGUGAUGUAGAUUAAAA
Molecule: long non-coding RNA, 447 nt
Organism: Phyllostomus hastatus (greater spear-nosed bat)
Lineage: Eukaryota; Metazoa; Chordata; Mammalia; Chiroptera; Phyllostomidae
Exons: 3
Source: RefSeq, a predicted model, not a curated record